Molecule: ribosomal RNA, 19 nt
Filed under: Pyropia yezoensis (susabi-nori)
Lineage: Eukaryota; Rhodophyta; Bangiophyceae; Bangiales; Bangiaceae
Also listed under: 4 other names
Description: partial 18S small subunit ribosomal RNA
Source: RNAcentral
GACCUGCGGAAGGAUCAUU